CAGUCGCCGCGGUAAUACGAAGGGGGCUAGCGUUGUUCGGAUUUACUGGGCGUAAAGGGUGCGUAGGCGGAUUGUUAAGUCAGGGGUGAAAUCCCGAGGCUCAACCUCGGAACUGCCCUUGAUACUGGGUGUCUUGAGUCCGGAAGAGGUGAGUGGAACUGCGAGUGUAGAGGUGAGAUUCGUAGAUAUUCGCAAGAACACCGGUGGCGAAGGCGGCUCACUGGUCCGGAACUGACGCUGAGGCACGACAGCGUGGGGAGCAAACAGGAUUAGAUACCCGCGUAGUCCCUGUCUCUUAUAC
RNAcentral lists this ribosomal RNA (301 nucleotides) under uncultured bacterium. RNAcentral's name for it is "partial 16S ribosomal RNA". It matches the Rfam family "Bacterial small subunit ribosomal RNA", at positions 509 to 807 of the family's 1533-position model. The record is from RNAcentral.